This 666-nucleotide ribosomal RNA is filed under the name uncultured Lactococcus sp. RNAcentral's name for it is "bacterial SSU rRNA". It matches the Rfam family "Bacterial small subunit ribosomal RNA", at positions 28 to 669 of the family's 1533-position model. Lineage: Bacteria; Bacillati; Bacillota; Bacilli; Lactobacillales; Streptococcaceae. The record is from RNAcentral.
GACGAACGCUGGCGGCGUGCCUAAUACAUGCAAGUUGAACGCUUGAUUUUCACCGAAGCUUGCUUCACCGAAAAUCAAGAGUAGCGAACGGGUGAGUAACGCGUGGGUAACCUACCUAUCAGCGGGGGAUAACUAUUGGAAACGAUAGCUAAUACCGCAUAACAAUGUUGGAUGCAUAUUCGACAUUUGAAAGUACCAACUGGUACACUGAGAGAUGGACCCGCGUUGUAUUAGCUAGUUGGUAGUGUAAUGGACUACCAAGGCGAUGAUACAUAGCCGACCUGAGAGGGUGAUCGGCCACAUUGGGACUGAGACACGGCCCAAACUCCUACGGGAGGCAGCAGUAGGGAAUCUUCGGCAAUGGACGAAAGUCUGACCGAGCAACGCCGCGUGAGUGAAGAAGGUUUUCGGAUCGUAAAACUCUGCUGUUAGAGAAGAACGUUGCAUAGAGUGGAAAAUUAUGCAAGUGACGGUAUCUAACCAGAAAGGGACGGCUAACUACGUGCCAGCAGCCGCGGUAAUACGUAGGUCCCGAGCGUUGUCCGGAUUUAUUGGGCGUAAAGCGAGCGCAGGUGGUUUAUUAAGUCUGGUGUAAAAGGCAGUGGCUCAACCAUUGUAUGCAUUGGAAACUGGUAGACUUGAGUGCAGGAGAGGAGAGUGGAAUUC